Molecule: long non-coding RNA, 273 nt
Filed under: Brassica napus (rape)
Lineage: Eukaryota; Viridiplantae; Streptophyta; Magnoliopsida; Brassicales; Brassicaceae
Description: long non-coding RNA (BNAP_LNC009991)
Source: RNAcentral
CUUAAAACCAUGAGCUGAUCCAGACUUGCAAAAAAACAUCACAAAAAGUAGUAAUGUUUUAAUUUAUAAACUUUUUGGUCAAAAAUGUUUUAAUUUAAAACUUAUAGAAUUCUAAUUAUACUACGAUAUCACUUUUCAAACUUACCUUUAAAGGAAGACUAUUUUCAUAAAUAACCUAAAUUUAUGAUGAAAAAAAAACUAAACUAACCCUUCUAAUCACUUAUAAAUGUUAUAGAAUUAUUAAUAGAAGUUUAUAAACCCAACUUCAUCCCU